CCUACGGGAGGCUGCAGUAGGGAAUCUUCCACAAUGGGCGAAAGCCUGAUGGAGCAACGCCGCGUGGGUGAAGAAGGUCUUCGGAUCGUAACAUCCUGUUGUUAGAGAAGAAAGUGCGUGAGAGUAACUGUUCACGUUUCGACGGUAUCUAACCAGAAAGCCAAGGCUAACUACGUGCCAGCAGCCGCGGUAAUACGUAGGUGGCAAGCGUUAUCCGGAUUUAUUGGGCGUAAAGGGAACGCAGGCGGUCUAUUAAGUCUGAUGUGAAAGCCUUCGGCUUAACCGGAGUAGUGCAUUGGAAACUGGUAGACUUGAGUUCAGAAGAGGAGAGUGGAACUCCAUGUGUAGCGGUGAAAUGCGUAGAUAUAUGGAAGAACACCAGUGGCGAAAGCGGCUCUCUGGGCUGUAACUGACGCUGAGGUUCGAAAGCGUGGGUAGCAAACAGGAUUAGAUACCCCGGUAGUC
This 465-nucleotide ribosomal RNA is filed under the name uncultured bacterium. RNAcentral's name for it is "partial 16S ribosomal RNA". It matches the Rfam family "Bacterial small subunit ribosomal RNA", at positions 338 to 795 of the family's 1533-position model. The record is from RNAcentral.